Molecule: long non-coding RNA, 709 nt
Organism: Bubalus bubalis (water buffalo)
Lineage: Eukaryota; Metazoa; Chordata; Mammalia; Artiodactyla; Bovidae
Exons: 2
Source: RefSeq, a predicted model, not a curated record
UCGCAAAGAGUCAGACACGGCUGAAGCGACUUGGCACACAGAGCACACAGCCUGCUUCCUGGACAGUUUACCUAUUCAUAAAAGGAAACCAAGUCCCAAAUCAUUUAGAUAAAUAGUACUUCUGCAAGCAUUAUGCUCACGUAGCCUCUCAUGGGGCUUCCUGGGUAGCUCAGCUGGUAAAAAAUCCGCCUGCAAUGCUGGAGACCCUGGUUCGAUUCCUGGGUCAGGAAGUUCCUCUGGACAAGGGAUAAGCUACGCACUCCAGUUUUCAUGGACUUCCCUGGUAGCUCAGAUGGUAAAGAAUCUGCCUGCAAUGCGGAAGACAAGGUUCGAUCCCUGGAUGGGGAAGAUCCCUUGCAGGAGGCAUGGCAACCAACUCCAGCGUUCUUGUCUGGAGAACCCCUGUGGACAGAGGAGCUUCUGGCGGUCCUUCUGUGGUUGCAAAGAGUUGGACAAGACUGAGUGGCUAAGCACAGCACAGCACAGCCUCCCACGGAAAGCCUUGAAAACACAUUUUUAGAAAUUUCUCCUUUCUCCCAUGGCACCCUGAAGUGCACUGAGAUUUAACUUUUCUUGCAUUCUGUCAUUUUUAAAAUAAAAUCUUUUUUUUCCCUUAUGGUAGAAUAAACUGUUCGAAUGCUUUUGGACAACCUGGAUUCUAAUAGUUUUCACAGGUCAUUAGUGUAUCUGACUGAAUUAAAUAUUGAAU